CCUACGGGCGGCUGCAGUGGGGAAUAUUGGACAAUGGGGGCAACCCUGAUCCAGCCAUGCCGCGUGUGUGAAGAAGGCCCUCGGGUUGUAAAGCACUUUCAGUGAGGAAGAACGCCUGGUGGUUAAUACCCAUCAGGAAAGACAUCACUCACAGAAGAAGCACCGACUAACUCCGUGCCAGCAGCCGCGGUAAUACGGAGGGUGCGAGCGUUAAUCGGAAUUACUGGGCGUAAAGCGCGCGUAGGUGGCUUGAUAAGCCGGUUGUGAAAGCCCCGGGCUCAACCUGGGAACGGCAUCCGGAACUGUCAAGCUAGAGUGCAGGAGAGGAAGGUAGAAUUCCCGGUGUAGCGGUGAAAUGCGUAGAGAUCGGGAGGAAUACCAGUGGCGAAGGCGGCCUUCUGGACUGACACUGACACUGAGGUGCGAAAGCGUGGGUAGCAAACAGGAUUAGAUACCCCGGUAGUC
This 465-nucleotide ribosomal RNA is filed under the name Vreelandella stevensii. Its description in RNAcentral is "partial 16S ribosomal RNA". It matches the Rfam family "Bacterial small subunit ribosomal RNA", at positions 338 to 795 of the family's 1533-position model. Lineage: Bacteria; Pseudomonadati; Pseudomonadota; Gammaproteobacteria; Oceanospirillales; Halomonadaceae. The record is from RNAcentral.